Molecule: ribosomal RNA, 690 nt
Filed under: uncultured Acidobacteriota bacterium
Lineage: Bacteria; Pseudomonadati; Acidobacteriota
Description: bacterial SSU rRNA
Rfam family: Bacterial small subunit ribosomal RNA
Source: RNAcentral
GAUCCUGGCUCAGAAUCAACGCUGGCGGCGUGCCUAACACAUGCAAGUCGCACGAGAAAGGGUAGCAAUACCUGAGUAAAGUGGCGCACGGGUGAGUAACACGUGAAUUAUCUACCUCCGAGUGGGGAAUAACUGAGAGAAAUCUUAGCUAAUACCGCAUAACACUUACGAGUCAAAGCAGUAAUGCGCUUGGAGAGGAGUUCGCGGCAGAUUAGUUAGUUGGCGGGGUAAUGGCCCACCAAGACGAUGAUCUGUAUCCGGCCUGAGAGGGCGCACGGACACACUGGAACUGAAACACGGUCCAGACUCCUACGGGAGGCAGCAGUGGGGAAUUUUGCGCAAUGGGGGAAACCCUGACGCAGCAACGCCGCGUGGAGGAUGAAAUCCCUUGGGAUGUAAACUCCUUUCGAUAGGGAAGAUUAUGACGGUACCUAUAGAAGAGGCCCCGGCUAACUUCGUGCCAGCAGCCGCGGUAAUACGAGGGGGGCAAGCGUUGUUCGGAUUUAUUGGGCGUAAAGGGUGCGUAGGCGGUUUGGCAAGUCUUGUGUGAAAUCUUUGGGCUCAACCCAAAGCCUGCACAAGAAACUGCCGGGCUUGAGUAUGGGAGAGGUGAGUGGAAUUUCCGGUGUAGCGGUGAAAUGCGUAGAUAUCGGAAGGAACACCUGUGGCGAAAGCGGCUCACUGGACCAU